AUUUAACCAGGUAGGCCAGUUGAGAACACCUUUAUUUAACCGGGUAGGCCAGUUGAGAACACCUUUAUUUAACCAGGUAGGCUAGUUGAGAACACCUUUAUUUAACCAGGUAGGCCAGUUGAGAACACCUUUAUUUAACCAGGUAGGCCAGUUGAGAACACCUUUAUUUAACCAGGUAGGCCAGUUGAGAACACCUUUAUUUAACCGGGUAGGCCAGUUGAGA
Molecule: long non-coding RNA, 223 nt
Organism: Oncorhynchus keta (chum salmon)
Lineage: Eukaryota; Metazoa; Chordata; Actinopteri; Salmoniformes; Salmonidae
Exons: 3
Source: RefSeq, a predicted model, not a curated record